RNAcentral lists this unclassified non-coding RNA (461 nucleotides) under Cleistanthus dallachyanus. RNAcentral describes it as "partial miscellaneous RNA". Lineage: Eukaryota; Viridiplantae; Streptophyta; Magnoliopsida; Malpighiales; Phyllanthaceae. The record is from RNAcentral.
AGACCUCGCUGCUGUCGAAGCUCCAUCUAUAAUGGAUAAGACUUCGGUUUUAGUGUGUACAAGUUCUUAAAAAAAGGAGCAAUACCAUUGGGUUGGGUAUUGCUCCUUUUUUUAGUAAUAUUAAUUUGACGUUAAUUGAUUUAACUUUACAUAAACUUAAAGAAGCUUUUUUUUGCUUCACCAUAAGAAAAAGUCUUCUUCUAGAUUGAUUUCUGAUUGAUUAUUAUUAUUAUAGAAUUCGAAUUCUUAUAUUCUAUAUMUUAUAUAAUUCGAAUCAAUUUAUGUACUCAAUUGAUUAUUUAUAUAUCUUUCUUUUGUGAAGUUAGUAUUUUAUUUACAUGGAAGAUAAAAGAUGUAAAAGAUAAAGCUUUCCAUUUUUUGUUUUUUGUAUUGACUAUUYUAUUCUAAGAUUUUUAUAUUAGAUGAAAUUGAAUGAUAAAUGCUAUAAAUUGAAAUCCUUG